RNAcentral lists this ribosomal RNA (318 nucleotides) under Praon abjectum. RNAcentral describes it as "partial 16S ribosomal RNA". Lineage: Eukaryota; Metazoa; Arthropoda; Insecta; Hymenoptera; Braconidae. The record is from RNAcentral.
GUCUAAUCUGCCCAAUGAUAUUUUAUUUAAUGGCUGCAGUAUUUAUAACUGUACAAAGGUAGCAUAAUAAUUAGUUUUUUAAUUGAAAACUAGAAUGAAAGAUUAAAUGAAAUAUAUACUAUAUAAAUAAAAUUAAAAAUUAAAAUUAAAAUUUAAGUAAAAAUUCUUAAAUUAUUUUAAAAGACGAGAAGACCCUAUAGAAUUUUAUUUUUUGUUAUUUUAAAAUUUAAUAAUAAAUUUAAAUAAAUAAUAAAAAAUUUAAUUGGGGUAAUUUUAAAAUUAAAUUAAUUUUUAUUUAAAAAACAUAAAUUAAUGAAU